RNAcentral lists this ribosomal RNA (789 nucleotides) under uncultured bacterium. Its description in RNAcentral is "bacterial SSU rRNA". It matches the Rfam family "Bacterial small subunit ribosomal RNA", at positions 8 to 796 of the family's 1533-position model. The record is from RNAcentral.
AGAGUUUGAUCAUGGCUCAGGACGAACGCUGGCGGCGUGCCUAACACAUGCAAGUGGAGCGACGAACCAGGGCUUGCCCUGGGGCAAAGCCGCGAACGGGUGAGUAACACGUGGGUUACCUGCCCCAAUGACCGGGACAACCCAAGGAAACUCGGGCUAAUACCGGAUGUGCCCGCAAGGGCAAAGGAAGCCUCGGCCUCCGCAUUGGGAUGGGCCCGCGGCCCAUUAGCUUGUUGGUGGGGUAAUGGCCUACCAAGGCAACGAUGGGUAGCUGGUCUGAGAGGACGAUCAGCCACACUGGGACUGAGACACGGCCCAGACUCCUACGGGAGGCAGCAGUGGGGAAUCUUGCGCAAUGCGCGAAAGCGUGACGCAGCAACGCCGCGUGGGGGAAGACGGCCUUCGGGUUGUAAACCCCUUUUCAGUUGGGACGAAGCUCAGCCGGUGAAUAGCCGGUAUGAGUGACGGUACCUUCAGAAGAAGCACCGGCUAACUACGUGCCAGCAGCCGCGGUAAUACGUAGGGUGCAAGCGUUGUCCGGAAUUAUUGGGCGUAAAGAGCGUGUAGGUGGUUCGAUCAGUCCGCUGUGAAAGCCCAGGGCUUAACCCUGGAAUGCCGGUGGAUACUGUCGGGCUAGAGUCCGGAAGGGGCGAGUGGAAUUCCUGGUGUAGCGGUGAAAUGCGCAGAUAUCAGGAGGAACACCUAUGGCGAAGGCAGCUCGCUAGGACGGUACUGACACUGAGACGCGAAAGCGUGGGGAGCAAACAGGAUUAGAUACCCCCGUAGUCC